UGCCAUGAUGACAUAUAUAUAACACUUUCUUUGAGGCACAAGCAAAAGCAUAGCCUUAAAUAUCAAAGUUCAAGUCUAGCACUUGCGGAUGGACUAUGUUUGCUGCUGAAGAAUUGUUACCAGCUUCUGGUUCAUACUUGGUGGGGCUUUGCAUUCCAAAACCCAAAUGGGAAACUCAUAUUUGGCACAUUUGGUGGUUAUGUUGAGUUUCUUGGGGAUGCUACUAAUACCUUCCUCAUGUCAAGAUGAUUCAAAUGAAUAUGAUGCAACUACUGCUGUGUACAUUGUUACUCUCAGACAAGCCCCUACUUCUCAUAAUCAGGAAGAGCUGACCAGAGAAAUUGGUCACCACUUCAGACAUGGUGCUUCUAGGAGAAAUACACUUAAAAGAACAAGACAUCAAAAUGUUUCACAGAUAGAUAGGAGGCCUGGCUCUAACAUUGCCAGAGUUCAUGAUGCGUGGUUGAAAAAGGUGUUUAAAGGGGAGAAAUAUCUGAAGCUCUAUAGCUAUCAUUACUUGAUUAAUGGAUUUGCUGUGCUAAUUACUCAACAGCAGGCAGAUAAGCUCUCAAGGAAUCACUAUUGCAUUUGUUGACACUGGCAUUGAUCCUACACACCCUAGUUUUGCUGAUGAUAAAUCUAAACAUCCAUUCACUUUUCCGCUCGUUUUUCUGGUACCUGUGAAGUUGCUCGGGAUUUUCCAUCUGGUUCUUGCAAUAGGAAACUUGGUGGGGCACGUCAUUUUGUAGAAUCUGCUAUAGCCAGAGGAGUAUUCAAUUCAACUCAGGACUAUGCUUCUCCUUUUGAUGGAGAUGGCCAUGGCACUGAAGUGAUCCAUGUCGCCCAAUGUAGUGUGUCAUUCUUCUAAAGAUGAUGAGUGCUUAGGGGUUACACCUAGGAGGACGGACCAGAGCAUUUGCAGCAGCUGGUGUUGAACUUCCUUCCACCUGUUCUUCUCUUUUAGACGACGAUGGAUUAGGCUCGUCUGCUUGCACUCGCUGUACUGCUUGCGCCUGCUGUACUGCUCGCGCCUGAUGUAGUAGCAGGACCAGAGUCUCUGCAGCAGCACUUGCUAAAUCUCCAUCUCCAGCAGUACUUGUUCCAUCUCCGUCUCCAGCACCACUUGCACAUCCUACUACUUCUUUUCCUUUAGAUGAUGGAUUCGGUUCACGUGCUUGCGCCUCAUUCGUAGCAGGAGCCUCUGCAUCAGCUCUUGCUCCCCUUCCAUCACCUGCAUUUCCUUCCAGGUUUCUUCCUUUUCUAAGGACCACAUAGAUUCUAAAUAACUGGUUGCUAAUCACUGCAGAAAAUACAAGGAUUCAGAUGGAAUAAUGUCCCGAACUAAUCACAUAAAAAGCGUGAAAUACAGCAAUUGGUUACUAGCAUCAUGCUACUUAUGGCAUAAACUGGCUUUGCUAUCUCUAAUUUGGUUCAGAAAGGGUAACCAUCCCAGAUAUUAAACUCUUGGCAGGUUGACCAGUUUUUCCAUUGGCAAAUUAGCUUAAUAAAGAGUAACAUCAUGAACAUGAAAAUUGAGAAACAAGGAAAUACUUGCAAUUGUUUUUCAAAAACCAGGAAACACAUGUGACAGAUUUUAUCACACCAAGUCAAGAAACAAAUUAUAUGUAUACAAAUCAAUUUAAGAAACGACAUAGGACACCAACCUUCCAAUUGUUGUUGGGUGAUUCCAAGCGUAUUCCACCAAUAGCUCUCACUACUAUCCAGAAGCUUCAAUUUUAGGAACUUGACAGCAAGGAAAAUGCAAACUCCUGCAAUGUGUUGCGGCCAGAAUUGCAAGCUAAGCGUUGUCAAAUUCCUAAAAGCCACCAACACAUAUUAGUAAAAUGAAAUCAACAAAGUUAAAUUUGAUUAAAACAUAAUCAUUAUAUUCAUACCCAUCAUUGGCCAAGUCCCAGGCAACUCGAACAACUUUGCUCUUUUCGACAGGCUUAAUGGCUAAGGUUGUCACGUAGGCUGUAAGGAAGUCAUAGGGAUGUAGAAUUUCAAAAGUAAAAUUUAAAGUAGCAAGUACAAGCUUCUCUGCAAGAAUGAUUAACUCUUUCCGUGAGUUAUAUAUUUCCUGCAUCAUAUACGAAUAUUGAACAAAUUUUAAGUAAACGAAAAAGAUAAAGAACUAAAAUAUAAAGAGACAUAGAGAAAGUUAUAGCAUGUUUGAAUCAACUUCUCUAUCUCCAGAUAAUUGAUUCUGUUUUCCAAAUCAAUUGUAAAAGAGUUUCCAAAUAUGCAUUUAAUGGAGUAAAAUAGAGCAGCUAGUUAUUUCAUGCUUCAGCACUUAUUAGAACCUAGCAGCAAUAUAGUUUCAGAAAAAUUCAAGAGAAUUAGGAUGUAUAGCUGCAGGAACACCUGACUCUCGUUUAUGCGCUUCAUAGCUUCUUCAAGAUUGUGCUGGUGAUUGAGACAAUAGGAAAAAACAAUAACAUUCCGUAGGCUAUAAGGUUUGUCUUCAUCCUUACUAGCAAUUAACAUACAAGCAGUUCCAAUAGUCUGCAAAAGAAGUUCACCAAAUGAAGCAUGAGAUUCCAAUUAGUUCAUACUUAAAGUUUACAUCAUCUUUACAUUGCCAUUCUUGAAUAUAAAAUUGGACCAAAACUACAGUAUCUGUAUAUUAACUAACAUCAUCUUCCAUGUGUAUGCCCAUUGACCUCUCUAAUGCAGAAAACUAAUGAUACUUAGACAAUACUCAAACACCUAAUAUCUCUCCUUUUAUCAUACUCACUCGUCAUAUAAUACAUUCAUUACUUCUCUCUUCUCUUCAUUUUUUCACUGUGGGUGAGUGUUAUGCACUAUGCGGAUGUGUACCGAUUGUUUUCCAAUGCGAAAAUGUAUAAUUAAUUAAAACCUUGAAUAUCAAUAAUAAAGUGCAAGAACUCACCCUUGCGUUGAUAUUUGCAAACGAUUGUAGCAUAAAGAACUUGUUAAAGUAGUAUGAGGCCCUCGUUAUAACUUUUCGAGACCUGCAAUGAGGCAAAGUUGAAACAGAAUUUACAUCUCCAGUU
Lotus japonicus is the source of this 3017-nucleotide RNA transcript. It is a transcript of the gene named subtilisin-like protease SBT2.2, with no coding region annotated. The transcript has 4 exons. NCBI's taxonomy places the organism in Eukaryota, Viridiplantae, Streptophyta, Magnoliopsida, Fabales, Fabaceae. The record is from RefSeq and is a predicted model, not a curated record.